UUGUAAUGACCGUAAACAGGGAGCUAAAAUUAAUAAAAAAAUGGAUGGAUAUAAAUAAAUUAUCAUUAAAUAUAAGUAAAACUAAAGCAAUGUUUUUUGGUAAUUUAAAAUAUAAUAUAGAAUUACCAAUCAUCAUUGAAGGUGUACCAAUUGAUAAUGUGAGUGAAAACAAAUUUUUGGGAGU
Molecule: long non-coding RNA, 184 nt
Organism: Oreochromis niloticus (Nile tilapia)
Lineage: Eukaryota; Metazoa; Chordata; Actinopteri; Cichliformes; Cichlidae
Exons: 2
Source: RefSeq, a predicted model, not a curated record